GAUGAAGAACGUAGCGAAAUGCGAUAAGUAGUGUGAAUUGCAGAAUUCAGUGAAUCAUCGAAUCUUUGAACGCACAUUGCGCCCUUUGGUAUUCCUUAGGGCAUGCCUGUUCGAGCGUCAUUUGAAACCUCAAGCUCAGCUUGGUGUUGGGUGUCUGUCCCCGCCUCACCGCGGGGACUCGCCUCAAAAUCAUUGGCGGCCGGUACGUUGGCUUCGAGCGCAGCAGAAACGAGAACUCGAGGCCCGGCGGAUCGGCGACCAGAAGUCACUUCUUCACAGUUUGACCUCGGAUCAGGUAGGGAUACCCGCUGAACUUAAGCAUAUCAAUAAGCGGAGGA
RNAcentral lists this unclassified non-coding RNA (338 nucleotides) under soil metagenome. RNAcentral's name for it is "partial contains 5.8S ribosomal RNA, internal transcribed spacer 2, and large subunit ribosomal RNA". The stretch from base 1 to 120 matches the Rfam family "5.8S ribosomal RNA", at positions 35 to 154 of the family's 154-position model. The record is from RNAcentral.